UAUAAUAUCAACGAUCCAAACCAUUCAUCUACCUGCACCCUCUAAUAGAUCAUGUUUUCAAAAAAGAAAAUAUAAAAAAACGAAAGUUGAUGAGAAUAAUGAAGCAUAAAUGUAAACAACAAUCAACGGUUAAAUUUUGAUCUAUGAUUUAUAUGAUUAUAGCGGCGAAUUUCGAAGUUAAGCACUUCAUGAAAGUUAUAAAGCUUGUCAUUACGAGUGUUUAUAUAUUUUUUUCUAUAUUUUUUUACACUUCUACAUUAAUUAAAAAACUAUUAAAGACUUUAGGUAAGCGAAAAUAUACUUAAAAACAAAAUUGUGUUUUUACGUUUUGGAUGUGAUAAUAUGGAAUGUAUAUACUUAUUUAGUAUUAUGUUUUUCAUUUGAUUAUUUAUUGGUUUAAAAUAUAUUUUCCUUAACGGGUAACGGGUUGGGUCAUAUUACCUGUUAAUAUUAUCGGGUCGAUUUCGGGUCGGGUCAUUUUACCCGUUUAUUUUAAGGGGUGUUACACGACAUGACCCGUUAAGAUAUCGGGUAUGACACGAAAAUGACACGAACACGGAAAACACGACACCAAUGCCAAGUCUACAAUGUAGUACUCGUAUAUAUUGAAUAAAGGUUAAAAGAAAUGCUUAGUAAUAGUCUAAUUUGUUGGAGUAACAUUAGAAAAUAUGAGAAUAAUAAAAGAAUUUCAAUGAUAAUAAUCAUAAAGAAAAUCACAAUAUCAAUUGUGUAAACAACGUAGAGAAAAAGUAAGAAAGAUUGACAAACUUAGAGAAUGAGGCUUGCAUAAAUGCAAUGUCUUAAAGACAAAAUUUCUCUUCUACUCGUGUACUUUUAAUUUGGUAGGCGUUCGUCUCCCAGGAUUUAACAAUAUAUAAUCCGAAGUCAAAGCACUGCAAUCUUCGGACUCUGGCUCACCUAAUAUAUUCCGUACUUUGAUAACACGACUCAGAAUUGAACAACAAAGGAUGAGAGAAAUAGAGUAGGGAAACCCUAUUUCUCAGGAGUAAUAAUUAAGUCAAAUUUUCAACUUUCAACUUUCAACCAUAAUAGUUUCAUGGGUUUAUAUAAUACCUAGGACACUGAUUGACGACAAUACGCAAUGUAGUGCCUCUUUUUAUAAGAUGACACCAUUUGAAUAAUAUAUACCGUUUGAUACUAACGUUUAAGAACUUUUCAUUCAAACAUUGAGUUAAAUAUUAUGAUUACUAAUAUUUGUUGAGGCCUAGAAAUGUCACACACCAACCCAAUCAAAUCUCAAAGUCCAAUUGUCAUGCAAGCCUUCAUUCAAGCCCAAACACAUGCCAAGGUGUAGAUCAAUAAGGAAAUAUAUUUACAAACAUGCCACACUAUGGUAAUUAAGCCGGAUAUCAACACUAAGGUUCUAAAAAACGCUAGGCGCUAGUCGGGCAGCAGGCUGGUGCCUAGCGCCUAGGCAGAUUUAGGUAAAUUUAUUGUAUAUCUUGUAAAUAAGUGUAUAUUGACACUUACAAAAAAUUAUACUUAUAUGAAAUCGAUAGAUAAGAUAAUAAAAUAAUGAUAAAAUGCAAAAAGAGUAUCAAAUAAGUCCAAAAUUUAAAAACACAUUAAGCAUAUAUGUCAUAUAACCAUAGUAAGGAGUAUUGUAGGAUAAACAGAUCUCGCAAGGUCGUUCUCCACAAUAAUUAUUAAAUAAUGCAAAGCAAACCAAAUUGUAAUUAAUUAUUGUAAACAAAAAUGUAUGAUAAUUGAUUUUAUGUCCUACUUUAAUAAAAACGAACGCCUAAGAGAAAGAAACAAAUAAUAAAACAAAAAGAAAAGAAGAAAAAGGAAAGGGCUCACCUAAUUCGAAAUCAAGACCUGGAGCCAUGGGAAAGGCACAUUAAAAAGAACAAAAAAUAUGAUGGGCGCAUGGUUCGAACUGGAGACCUGGGAGCUUGUAAGGACGCCCUGACCAACACAUCCAAGUCCAUAGCAAUGUCAAUCUUUCGCAACAGCUACAAUAUAUGCUAAUUUAGCAGCAUCAUGUUCAUUUCCAAAAACUCUGUCUUGCCUCGAGCCCAGAGCCCUA
Molecule: long non-coding RNA, 2050 nt
Filed under: Malus domestica (apple)
Lineage: Eukaryota; Viridiplantae; Streptophyta; Magnoliopsida; Rosales; Rosaceae
Description: long non-coding RNA (MDOM_LNC000333)
Source: RNAcentral